UUUUUUGGCAGUAAACAAUUAUUUCCUUAUUUGAAAAUUCAUAACAAUAAUUAAAUAUUUAUUAUGUUUUAUGGAUUUUAUGUACAUAUUUUAUAUGCGCAUCCCAAACGUAUUGGAUUCUGCAUUUUUCAAGAAAAUGCAAAUCCACGUAUCAAAUACAGAUUGUGUCUGAUACUCGUAUCCGUAUCGGUGCUUCAUAGUGAAUGCAGUACACUUCAAGGGCUACUCACUGAUUUUGGGUUCGAUGAAUGCUUUAUGAAAGAAAAUAGUAGCGCAUCAAUCCAGAUCAGUUACUGUCAUCCGAGUCCAUACCCAUUUUGUGAAUGUCUAACUCAAGGACUGAUAGCAUAUUUUUUGUUUGGAAAAAGCUGAAUUGCCCUGGAACACAUUCCUCAAAUUUCAGUGAUGUUGUUAGAAAUGUAAAAAACUUAACAGUUAUGUUGUUCUCUCUUGAGAAUAUCAUUGCUAUUGAUUUUCUUUUAUUGUUUUCUGGGCUCACCUCAACCGGGCUGGGAGACUCUGGAUCUCUACACUCUAGCAGUGGUCUCUUUUUUUGAUGUAUUUAAGACCAUUCUAUUGUUUAUAUUUUAUGUGGUUUCUAAUCUGAAUUAGUGAUUCUGUCAACGUUUAUUUUUCAGAUUGGUUUGGAUGGAAUUCGUAUGC
Molecule: long non-coding RNA, 663 nt
Filed under: Lupinus mutabilis
Lineage: Eukaryota; Viridiplantae; Streptophyta; Magnoliopsida; Fabales; Fabaceae
Description: partial ncRNA
Source: RNAcentral